GAUGAAGAACCCAGCAAAAUGCGAUAAGUAUUGUGAAUUGCAGGAUUUUGUGAAUCAUCGAAUUUUUGAACGCACAUUGCACCUUCUGGUAUUCCGGAGGGUAUACCUGUUUGAGCGUCAUUUAUAUACUCAAAACUUCGUUUUGGUGAUGGGCACAUAUCUGGCGAGAGCUGGAUUUGCCUGAAAUAUAGUGGUAGAGAUUGCUACAAGUGAUGCAAGUUAGCCAAUGCUAUUAAGUUAAUUCGUUGGUGAAGCAUGUAGAGCUUUAGUGAUCAUCUUCCUUAACUAUUGGAAUUUUUUCUAAUUUUGACCUCAAAUCAGGCAGGAGUACCCGCUGAACUUAAGCAUAUCAAUAAGCGGAGGA
RNAcentral lists this unclassified non-coding RNA (364 nucleotides) under soil metagenome. RNAcentral describes it as "partial contains 5.8S ribosomal RNA, internal transcribed spacer 2, and large subunit ribosomal RNA". The stretch from base 1 to 120 matches the Rfam family "5.8S ribosomal RNA", at positions 35 to 154 of the family's 154-position model. The record is from RNAcentral.